GACGAACCGUGCGAACGUUGUUCGGAAUCACUGGGCUUAAAGGGAGCGUAGGCGGGCUAUCAAGUCUGGGGUAAAUCCCGCGGCUCAACCGCGGAACUGCCUCAGAUACUGACGGCCUCGAGGGAGAUAGGGGCAUGCGGAACUGUAGGUGGAGCGGUGAAAUGCGUUGAUAUCUACAGGAACUCCGGUGGCGAAAGCGGCGUGCUGGAUCUCUUCUGACGCUGAGGCUCGAAAGCUAGGGGAGCAAACGGG
This 252-nucleotide ribosomal RNA is filed under the name uncultured bacterium. RNAcentral's name for it is "partial 16S ribosomal RNA". It matches the Rfam family "Bacterial small subunit ribosomal RNA", at positions 524 to 776 of the family's 1533-position model. The record is from RNAcentral.